CUUGUUUGUGGUGUGAAUUAGGGUUUACAUCUUCCCAAGAUCAUUUUGGUCGGCUGAUUCUUUUACUCUCUUUCAGUCUUGUCAUUGCAGAAUCUCUAAGAAGCUUCUUACGAAAAUGGUCCUUCAGGCCCACCUGCUGAGCUCGAGAAGAGGAAGCACAAGCUCAAGCGUCUUGUUCAGUCGCCCAAUUCAUUUUUCAUGACUAUCACACCUGCAGCAGCAUCAGAUUCAGUCGCUUCGUCCUCAAAUGGAUAAAGACUCUGGCUGAUUUCUUCAUCUUCACCUAAGCUAAUGUCAUAUUCAACAUCCAUUGAAGGUUCUUCGUCUUCUUCAGAAUCAGAACUAGAACCAGAAAGCUCAACAUCCAUUGAAGGUUCUUCGUCUUCUUCAGAAUCAGAACUAGAACCAGAAAGCUCAACAUCCAAUGAAGGUUCUUCG
Long non-coding RNA from Camelina sativa (false flax), 438 nucleotides. RefSeq lists it as uncharacterized. The record is from RefSeq and is a predicted model, not a curated record. Lineage: Eukaryota; Viridiplantae; Streptophyta; Magnoliopsida; Brassicales; Brassicaceae.